CGCGAAGUCACGCCAGCUGCAUCCGACGCGAGCUGCUCUGUGAGCGUUUCCUACUCGGCCUUCUCUCGCCUCGCCCUACCAUUUGAAACACCACACGUGUUCCGGUGCUGCUCGCGUAACUUCGACGGCGUGGUCCACUGGGACGAUAACGGGGAGUACGUCCAGUGUCCACUACAGCUCUAGCCACAGCUGUGCUUCGCUGAAGGCCCGCAGUGAGAGGAGGGGGCUGCGGCCAUGUGGU
Long non-coding RNA from Schistocerca serialis cubense, 241 nucleotides. RefSeq lists it as uncharacterized. The transcript has 3 exons. The record is from RefSeq and is a predicted model, not a curated record. NCBI's taxonomy places the organism in Eukaryota, Metazoa, Arthropoda, Insecta, Orthoptera, Acrididae.